This 422-nucleotide ribosomal RNA is filed under the name uncultured Faecalibacterium sp. RNAcentral describes it as "bacterial SSU rRNA". It matches the Rfam family "Bacterial small subunit ribosomal RNA", at positions 355 to 794 of the family's 1533-position model. Lineage: Bacteria; Bacillati; Bacillota; Clostridia; Eubacteriales; Oscillospiraceae. The record is from RNAcentral.
UAGGGAAUAUUACUCAAUGGGCGAAAGCCUGAAGCAGCAACGCCGCGUGGAGGAUGACACUUUUCGGAGCGUAAACUCCUGUUGUUGGGGAAGAUAAUGACGGUACCCAACAAGGAAGUGACGGCUAACUACGUGCCAGCAGCCGCGGUAAAACGUAGGUCACAAGCGUUGUCCGGAAUUACUGGGUGUAAAGGGAGCGCAGGCGGGGAGACAAGUUGGAAGUGAAAUCUAUGGGCUCAACCCAUAAACUGCUUUCAAAACUGUUUUUCUUGAGUAGUGCAGAGGUAGGCGGAAUUCCCGGUGUAGCGGUGGAAUGCGUAGAUAUCGGGAGGAACACCAGUGGCGAAGGCGGCCUACUGGGCACCAACUGACGCUGAGGCUCGAAAGUGUGGGUAGCAAACAGGAUUAGAUACCCUGGUAGU